Molecule: transfer RNA, 72 nt
Filed under: Camelus bactrianus (Bactrian camel)
Lineage: Eukaryota; Metazoa; Chordata; Mammalia; Artiodactyla; Camelidae
Also listed under: 3 other names
Rfam family: tRNA
About the family: Transfer RNA (tRNA) molecules are approximately 80 nucleotides in length. Their secondary structure includes four short double-helical elements and three loops (D, anti-codon, and T loops).
Source: Rfam by way of RNAcentral
UGGGAUAGAGCUCAGAGGUAGAGCACAUGCUUAGCAUGCACGAGGUCCUGGGUUCAGUCCCCAGUACCUCCA